Molecule: ribosomal RNA, 1346 nt
Filed under: uncultured bacterium
Lineage: Bacteria
Description: partial 16S ribosomal RNA
Rfam family: Bacterial small subunit ribosomal RNA
Source: RNAcentral
GACGAACGCUGGCGGCGUGCUUAACACAUGCAAGUCGAACGGAAAGGCCCUGCUUUUGUGGGGUGCUCGAGUGGCGAACGGGUGAGUAACACGUGAGUAACCUGCCCUUGACUUUGGGAUAACUUCAGGAAACUGGGGCUAAUACCGGAUAGGAGCUCCUGCUGCAUGGUGGGGGUUGGAAAGUUUCGGCGGUUGGGGAUGGACUCGCGGCUUAUCAGCUUGUUGGUGGGGUAGUGGCUUACCAAGGCUUUGACGGGUAGCCGGCCUGAGAGGGUGACCGGCCACAUUGGGACUGAGAUACGGCCCAGACUCCUACGGGAGGCAGCAGUGGGGAAUAUUGCACAAUGGGCGGAAGCCUGAUGCAGCAACGCCGCGUGCGGGAUGACGGCCUUCGGGUUGUAAACCGCUUUCGCCUGUGACGAAGCGUGAGUGACGGUAAUGGGUAAAGAAGCACCGGCUAACUACGUGCCAGCAGCCGCGGUGAUACGUAGGGUGCGAGCGUUGUCCGGAUUUAUUGGGCGUAAAGGGCUCGUAGGUGGUUGAUCGCGUCGGAAGUGUAAUCUUGGGGCUUAACCCUGAGCGUGCUUUCGAUACGGGUCGACUUGAGGAAGGUAGGGGAGAAUGGAAUUCCUGGUGGAGCGGUGGAAUGCGCAGAUAUCAGAAGGAACACCAGUGGCGAAGGCGGUUCUCUGGGCCUUUCCUGACGCUGAGGAGCGAAAGCGUGGGGAGCGAACAGGCUUAGAUACCCUGGUAGUCCACGCUGUAAACGGUGGGUACUAGGUGUGGGGUCCAUUCCACGGGUUCCGUGCCGUAGCUAACGCUUUAAGUACCCCGCCUGGGGAGUACGGCCGCAAGGCUAAAACUCAAAGGAAUUGACGGGGCCCCGCACAAGCGGCGGAGCAUGCGGAUUAAUUCGAUGCAACGCGUAGAACCUUACCUGGGUUUGACAUGGAUCGGGAGUGCUCAGAGAUGGGUGUGCCUCUUUUGGGGUCGGUUCACAGGUGGUGCAUGGCUGUCGUCAGCUCGUGUCGUGAGAUGUUGGGUUAAGUCCCGCAACGAGCGCAACCCUUGUUCACUGUUGCCAGCACGUUAUGGUGGGGACUCAGUGGAGACCGCCGGGGUCAACUCGGAGGAAGGUGGGGAUGACGUCAAGUCAUCAUGCCCCUUAUGUCCAGGGCUUCACGCAUGCUACAAUGGCUGGUACAGAGAGUGGCGAGCCUGUGAGGGUGAGCGAAUCUCGGAAAGCCGGUCUCAGUUCGGAUUGGGGUCUGCAACUCGACCUCAUGAAGUCGGAGUCGCUAGUAAUCGCAGAUCAGCAACGCUGCGGUGAAUACGUUCCCGGGGCU